CUAAACCCCCUCUUCUCUUCAGCGACGAGACCUUCCUCUCCCAUUCAAAAUCUGCAGCCCUCGGUUUCAUCUCCCCAUUCGAAAUCUAUUGUUCCCUGAGUCCACCUUCCCUCUUCUACAGCAACAAUCCCUCUUCUGCAGCAACGACCCCGUGUGAUGAGACCACCCUCCCGCAGCGUGCUUCAUCCCUCUCGACCACCCUGCAGAAAAUCGGUGGAAGAUCCACCACCUCUUGAUCACCCCUCCAAAGAUCUGAGGCCACAGAGGAGUUUUCCCCACUCCGGUAAACUUAAAAAGAAAGAACAUAUGCUCGAUUAGUUUGGGUUUGUGAAAGAACAUUUUGCUAGUAAUGCCAAUGCUGAAGAAGUGGCUUCGUGGAAAGCAUAGAUAAGUAGGAAGAAUUUUUUUUUUUUGGGGUUUGGGAUUGGAUGCUUGUAGUCUCUCAUUCUCCAUUUGAUCUCGACUGGUAUGUGUAUGGAAUAUGCUUAUUACAUGUUCUAGUAGCAAUGCUUAUCCCAUGUUCUAGUAGCUAAAUUGAAAAUGGGUAUGGAAUAUGCUUAUAGAGUGAUAAUUAUAAGAGAACUGCGUGCUCAGGGAAAUAAACAAAGCAAAAGAAAUAUAGUUAUUGCAUGCAUACACGUAUGACAAAUAUAUAAUCUCCAAGUAGAAUGUGAUUCUCUCUUUUCCCAUAUAUUAUUUUUUACUCAAUAUUUCCCCUUUCCACAAUAGGCUGAACCGAGAGUUACUUAUUACUUACUAUAUUUGGGCCAGAUUAUACCACAAGCAAUAUGCUCAAGGUAUGUUUUUCUCUGAGUAUAGACACCAUCACAACACCUUUUGAUUGUCUCUCAUUCUCGUGGACUUUGACAGGUUAUCUUUUCUAAGAUCAUAGACCAUGUCUUCCAGAUUGCACUUCUAAUUCCUUGGUUUCCUCUUGAUAUUUAUGUGAACUUUGGUGGGUUUUAGUUUGAGGGUUUACCAGUUUUAAAGGAUUUGCAAUCCAGGUAAUCAAGUAAUCGAAUAUUGGUUUCUAGGGUCAAAUUCUAAUGGAUUUUCUGUUUGGAGCUAACAUUUGAGUUAGUCAGGUUUUAAUUGUAAUGUGUUGAUGAUCCAACCUUAUUGUGCUCUAAUCAAUGUGUUUUGUUUUAUAUAUAUUGUUUUGGACAACUUUGCUGGUGUUAGUCAUGGGAUUUGAGGUGUUAGUCAUGGGAUUUGAAGUGUUUUUUUUUUUUUUAAUUUUAUUGUUAGGGAGAAUCUGGACAGUCAAAUUCAAGUGCAGGGGUAGUUGUGCCAUAUUACAUUAACUCUUUGAAGUGUUUAUAAGUGUUUAGGAGAACCUGGAUGUUGCUUCUUGUCUUUAGAAGAUAUGUAGCAGAUAUGUAUGAAGACUGGAAUGGGUCAGAAUUUGUGGUCAUCAUUCUUGUUCAAGAUCUAGUUUUGACAUUUGGUAAACAUUCAACCCAGAGGAUGAUGCUGGGGAGUUUGCAGAGUUUCUUUGCCCCUUCUCCAUUUUGCACUAGAGAAGCGACCAAUUGCUCAGUAGUGUCUGCAACACCCAUGGCUCAAUCUCAGGAAUUCAACAGAGGAUGAGAUGAAAAAUGAAGCUAAUCUGGGAAAUGUGAAUGUUGGGAUGAGCAACCUUAAUUCAUCUAUGAAAAAGUGGUGAUGACUCUAUAAAGGGAAUGAGAGAUUUGUCUUCAACUGUAAAUACCCUUUGGCAGCCUUUUAUCACCCAAUAUUAAGACAAAUACAGCUGCUACUUCAGAAGAAGGACCUGCACCUACAGCUGCAGCUUCCGAAGCAACCUUACCCUCUGGACGACGUGCAUACAUAGUACACACAGAUAAGACGAAUUCCAGAAAAGUCCAAAAGACUUCAAGAUGAGAAUAUUCCAGGAAUAUAAUCUGAUGUGUACCAAUCAUUUGCAUUUUGGUUGUUAUGAAAAGUCUAUAAAUAUGGGCUCUGUUUGUAUCUAGGAUGUAUGGAAAAGUAAAAGAAUUCUAAACGAAAGAAAACUUCUUUCAGUCAUUUUAUCGAGUAGCUGCAGUGCCUAGCU
This is a long non-coding RNA of Juglans regia (Persian walnut), 2056 nucleotides long. RefSeq lists it as uncharacterized. NCBI's taxonomy places the organism in Eukaryota, Viridiplantae, Streptophyta, Magnoliopsida, Fagales, Juglandaceae. The transcript is spliced from 3 exons. The record is from RefSeq and is a predicted model, not a curated record.